UGAGCAAUCUGCCCUUCUCUUCGGAAUAAGCGUUGGAAACGACGUCUAAUGCCGAAUACGACCUCCUUUCGCAUGAUCGGAGGUGGAAAGCUCCGGCGGAGAAGGAUGAGCUCGCGGCCUAUCAGCUAGUUGGUGUGGGUAACGGCCCACCAAGGCGACGACGGGUAGCCGGCCUGAGAGGGUGACCGGCCACACUGGGACUGAGACACGGCCCAGACUCCUACGGGGAGGCAGCAGG
This 238-nucleotide ribosomal RNA is filed under the name uncultured bacterium. Its description in RNAcentral is "partial 16S ribosomal RNA". It matches the Rfam family "Bacterial small subunit ribosomal RNA", at positions 118 to 354 of the family's 1533-position model. The record is from RNAcentral.